AACGAACGCUGGCGGCAUGCCUAACACAUGCAAGUCGAACGAGGCCUUCGGGUCUAGUGGCGCACGGGUGCGUAACGCGUGGGAACCUGCCCUUAGGUUCGGAAUAACUCCCCGAAAGGGGUGCUAAUACCGGAUAAUGUCUUCGGACCAAAGAUUUAUCGCCUUUGGAUGGGCCCGCGUUGGAUUAGCUAGUUGGUAGGGUAAAAGCCUACCAAGGCGACGAUCCAUAGCUGGUCUGAGAGGAUGAUCAGCCACACUGGGACUGAGACACGGCCCAGACUCCUACGGGAGGCAGCAGUGGGGAAUAUUGGACAAUGGGCGAAAGCCUGAUCCAGCAAUGCCGCGUGAGUGAUGAAGGCCUUAGGGUUGUAAAGCUCUUUUACCCGGGAUGAUAAUGACAGUACCUGGAGAAUAAGCUCCGGCUAACUCCGUG
This 433-nucleotide ribosomal RNA is filed under the name uncultured bacterium. RNAcentral describes it as "partial 16S ribosomal RNA". It matches the Rfam family "Bacterial small subunit ribosomal RNA", at positions 29 to 507 of the family's 1533-position model. The record is from RNAcentral.